UUUUUUGGCUCAAUUUGAGCAUAUUUUUUAUCAUACAUUAUUUUUGUGUCAUGUUCACAUGUAAUAAUAGUUUGGGUUAUUACAUUAGGUACCAAUUUAUCCACAGUUCAUCUCAGAAUGGUCCUCUAAGGUUGGGUUUUGGACACUUGCAUAAUUACUUAAGGAAUUCCAACUAUAAUGGGUUAUUAAAAGGAAUGCUGCAACACUCGAUAGAUAGCUUACCUACAAUUAAUUGUAGAUAAUUGGGGCCCAGGUUUUGGCAUGACAGUUGUUGCAACACCCUUAAAGUCGUACAUAAUUAAUUCUUGUGAUCAACAUCUACUACAGUUACUCGAAAGAACACUAUACCAUAAUUCAUGAAAAUUCAGGAUGAAACAAACAUUGGGAGAAUUUUAUUGCUACAGAGACUAGUUCUCGUUGCACUGGUGACUAACCGCAAAGCGGUUUAUGUAUUGCUGCAGUAUUGGGCAGUAACUUUUCAAUUUCUAUUUUUUUUUUAAAUUUGAAUUUUUUCCUUCCCUCUCUUGGUGUCCUUAUAUGGUUCUAAACUAGUUUCUAUGGCAUUUAUAGGACUAUAAUGGCUCAACAACAACCUUCAUACCACAGAUUUCCAAACACCAAAUAUCCUGACCAUUGUGAGGAUAGGUUGCAUAAUGGAUUUUCCUUUUCGACGAAGCAUGAUGAUGACUAAUGUGGAGGAAUAGUUGUUGGGAUUCCUCAACUAAUUGAAAGCUUUUGCGUGGGAGAUGUUAAUCGAUCCUGUCCCUUAACACAAUGUAGAGUUCGUUUAGGGGUUUUAUGCUAAUCUCUUAAUCAUGGAUUGAUUGAUACCUUUCCCUACUGUUCAUUUUAAAGGAAAGAAGGUCCCAAUAGAUGUGGAAAACAUAAAUUAUACCUUGGGUGUCCCAACACUUCAAAUGACUCAUUUGAGGCAACAAUUCAGGCAUUAGACCUAGAGUGGGUGGUCGGGGUCUUUCCAUUGGAAAAAUGAGUUGUCGAGGUAAAAUGGUCCAGUACUAGGGGGACUAAGAGCACCUAUCUCUCAGUUGAGGCUAGAGUGUGGUUAUAGUACUAGGGGGACUAAGAGCACCUAUCUCUCAGUUGAGGCUAGAGUGUGGUUAUGGUUGGUGUUCUAGGGAAUUUUCCAUUUGAAAUAUUGCAUACCUGACCUUCCGCUAGGAAAUGGUGGUGCUAUAUGCUUUUGUAGGGAUUCGAGUAAAUGUCGAAGUGUUGAUUAUGGAUGAGUGGCGGUACUUUAUGUAAAGGAACUUUUCCUGCCUCUUUGGUCACCAUACUCUCGAAUAGGGUAAACUUGCUUCAAGAAGUUUAGGACACUAUGGAUGACUGUGAGGUGAUAUAUAACCCAUUGUAAGAUAGGGGAAUUCGAGGGGGGAGUAAAAACAAGAAAAAGGUGGGGGAAGAGGGUGAGGGUAGUCUGGCUGGUAGGCCUGGAGAGUCGAGUGCCCCUUUUACUCAAGCUCCCAUGCCUCUUAGUGUUCGGGAGGCUGACCUUUAUGAAAUUUAAGGCUAUCAAGAGAGUUCUCACUGCCGCCUCCUGGAUUGGCUCCUUCAAGAUCUACUGCCCUCCCUUGAAUCUAUUCACACUUACGUGGAGCUGUGAGAAGAUAUGACUUAAGAAAGAAAGGAGUGGCGUUUCCAUGAUCGCAUGCUUGUAAGAAUAUGGAAGUUGGUACAAGUGAUGUUCGGGUGCACCUCUCCCCUCAAGAAGUUGUUGUAGCUGAAUAGAAAAGAUGCCAAAGAGUUCUUCCUCAGUGGCAUGGAGGAGGAGGGCUCGAAUGCUUUGAGCCUUGGAGAUAGUACCACCGACUACAUUUUUCCUCUCUUCCCCCAUUUUUAUGUUCAAGUACCUUUGAAUUUGGGUUGCCCCCUUUUUGGGGCUUGCAACAAACAAAUUCUCCCUUUUUAUUUAUUUCUCACACUUUAAAUCGCAUUUAGUUUAUACACUUUCUAUAAUAAUUGUUCUAGUUGAUACUGCAUGUUGAAUUGAUAUUUGUCGUUUUAUUACUUUGAAAAUAACAUUAUUUUUCAAAAGAUGCAAAAUCACAAAACCAAGGGAAAUACCUAGCAGGACAUAGCCUAGUGCCACUGUAACGAUUAAUCUUACCGCUAAAGUGGAGGCAAUGAUAGCCUCUAGUAGCUUUGCUUUUGUUCCCUUACCUAGUCUAAGGCCUCUUUUCUACAUAACACACUUUCUAUACAUGAUCUAGUAAUGUAAUAAUCUCUUGUUUAUGCAUAAUAUAGAUUGGUGUCACAAUUUCUAUUGCUUUCAGACUGCCCCCCACACAAUUUUCAUUUAUCAAACAAAUAGUGUUUCACAUUCGUCAAUCUUUUUACUUACUCAAUUAACUAUCCUCUAAAGUGUUCCACCAAUAGUCAAUCACCUGGGUAGUUCGUAAGGAAUCGGGUAAAAGUCAUUUAUACUUCAAAUCACAGAGAGAUGCUAGCUCAAGUCACAAGAAUGAAGACAUUCUUGAGAUCACACUCAGUCCUUAAGUCCAUCAGUUUGUUUGGCUACAAAUCAAACAACUACAUACAUACUAUCAACUAAUCAUAUCUGAAAGUUUAAGCAUCUCAAGAAAGUUUCAUAAAUUAAUGAUAACAAACAAACACAUAACACAUUGCAAUGCCUUGUUGCAUCACUACAAGUACCUAAUGCCAUUCUAACAAGUCAUAACAAUCCACUUUCUAUGUUUCUUAUUAGCCUCUAUUCAUUGAACGUUCGAUUCUAACAUUACUAUGUUUAGAGAUAUUAAUUGGAACCAACAAGUCCCAGUUGUACGUUCGAUUCUAACAUUACUAUUUUUAGAGAUAUUAAUUGGAACCAACAAGUCCCAGUUGUGAUUGUUGAGAUACUAAUGGGAAUAUUUCUAUACAAAUUAGACUCAAGGUGGGAAGACAACACUAGAAUAGCAUAAAAGGAGAGAUGAAAGUUAAGUUGAUCCUAGAUGCCUUGUAGCCUCCUACAUAAUUAUGUGGACAUCAAUAAACUAAUCGGUAGUGCUUUACUCAAUUUGUUCUUGUACUAGAAGACUGGUAACUUAGGCUUUAAUAUCAUCUUAUCAUGACCCUACCCGCCGAAUCAUGCGGGAACCUAUUGACACCUACCCUGAUAGAAGAAUCCUUAAUACCCCACCAUGUAAUUAAUGGGGAAGUGUAAUAAUUUUAAAAGUAAUCCUUAAACAUAGUUCUCUAAAAGUCAAAAGAAAAUCAACUAUAAUUAUUCAAUUUAUUCGUUAUACAAUUUCAACCAAUGUAUUUGGUUCAAAAAAGAAAUGUUGAAAAUAAGCAACAAUGAAUCCCCAGAAACUAGUCUAAACAAGUAC
This 3344-nucleotide long non-coding RNA is filed under the name Capsicum annuum. RNAcentral's name for it is "long non-coding RNA (CANN_LNC002554)". The record is from RNAcentral. Lineage: Eukaryota; Viridiplantae; Streptophyta; Magnoliopsida; Solanales; Solanaceae.